UGACAGUUGUGAUGAUGAUGACAUGUCGUUUUUACCCUGAAACAAGUCAUGUGGGUUUUCAGUCACUACCUCUUCUGAACAGUCA
This is a small nucleolar RNA of Cyclopterus lumpus (lumpfish), 85 nucleotides long. Ensembl annotates it as small nucleolar RNA, C/D box 11B. Its record names the gene SNORD11B. NCBI's taxonomy places the organism in Eukaryota, Metazoa, Chordata, Actinopteri, Perciformes, Cyclopteridae. The record is from Ensembl.